RNAcentral lists this small RNA (304 nucleotides) under uncultured fungus. Its description in RNAcentral is "eukaryotic LSU rRNA". It matches the Rfam family "Eukaryotic large subunit ribosomal RNA", at positions 668 to 961 of the family's 3401-position model. Lineage: Eukaryota; Fungi. The record is from RNAcentral.
AAGGAGUCUAACAUGUGUGCGAGUGUUCGGGGUCUAUCCCCCAGCGCGAAAUUAACGUAAAGGUGAAUUUAUUCACUUAGGUAGGAUCCUUAGGUGCACUAUCGACCGACCAUGAUCCUCCGGGAGAAAGGUUUGAGUGUGAGCAUACAUGUUGGGACCCGAAAGAUGGUGAACUAUGCUUGAGUAGGGCGAAGCCAGGGGAAACUCUGGUGGAGGUCCGCAGCGAUUCUAACGUGCAAAUUGAUCGUCGAACUUGGGUAUAGGGGCGAAAGACUAAUCGAACCAUCUAGUAGCUGGUUCCUCC